RNAcentral lists this long non-coding RNA (476 nucleotides) under Elaeis guineensis (African oil palm). RNAcentral describes it as "long non-coding RNA (EGUI_LNC078589)". The record is from RNAcentral. Lineage: Eukaryota; Viridiplantae; Streptophyta; Magnoliopsida; Arecales; Arecaceae.
UUGAAGGAGGUGAAUAGCACCUCCCCUCACGCACCUUCGAAUCCAAGUCACCACCAUCAGUCAUCCUUGAUGAUCAAAUGGUCAACUCACAGGAUCCACCACACAUAGGUAAUCCAAGCCCAAGCCACUGAGACCAUAGGCUUGAAGAGAUGGUUGCCCCCAGCUACAACAAAAUUGGAUUCAGGACCGCAGAUCACAAAACCAGCACCUUUGCUCCUGCCCCUGAUACUAUCAUCAAAGUUGACCUUAAGGUACAUCGGAGGAGGGGGUUCUCAGGAAAUAAAAACCCGAUAGGGCACUGCAGGAGCAAUGUAAGAGUCUCAGAUCUCAGAUGAUCUCAAGAUCACAUCAAUGAUUUCCACUGUCAAGGAGAGAGCUCACUCGAAGAUAAAUCUGGUCGGAGAUCUCCUAAACUCAAACACUAGACUAUUCUGUGACAGCUAAAUAUGGUAAGCAAUAUAGGCCACAUGGAUAUC